This 633-nucleotide long non-coding RNA is filed under the name Homo sapiens (human). RNAcentral's name for it is "novel transcript". The record is from RNAcentral. Lineage: Eukaryota; Metazoa; Chordata; Mammalia; Primates; Hominidae.
GAGAGGGACAAGUAUCAGACCGCCUGCGAGAGCACUGUCUUCUUGGAGUGUUCGCCAUGGCCGGAGUCCCCUGCAAGGCCCCGGCCACCUCUCAGCUCUCUGGCUCUGACCUCUCCCCACUCCUGCAGGCUCUUGUCCCCAGAAAGGCUCUGUUCCUCACCACCAUUCGCUCUGGAUACCUUGGGGUGUAGCCCAGUUGAGGAUCUGAACCAAAAAGCCCCCAUCUCAGAGACACAGCAAUGGUUGCAUCAGCACUGGUUCUCCAGCUACUGCCGGAUGCUGGCCAACUUCACUGGUCUGGAUCUGCUGAAGCUUACAUGCCAGGACCUUAUCCAAAUCUGCGGGGCUGCUGAUGGGAUCCGCCUUUUCAAUACUCUUAGAGCCAGGUGCUGGACACUGCCAACCAGGGUCCCCUUCCCACUGUAGUGGCCCUUACUAACUUAGCUAGCAGGUAGGAAUCUAGUCCUCUUUUUCCAUACAGAAAACCACUUUUUUUUUUUUUUUUUUUUCCUGAGAUGGAGUUUCGCUCUUUUGCCCAGGCUGGAGUGAAGUGGUGAAGUGGCACGAUCUCAGUUACCGCACCAGGCCCAGAAAACCACUUUUAUAUUAAACAGUAAACGCUUUCUUAAAAGA